Gadus macrocephalus (Pacific cod) is the source of this 1310-nucleotide long non-coding RNA. RefSeq lists it as uncharacterized. The record is from RefSeq and is a predicted model, not a curated record. NCBI's taxonomy places the organism in Eukaryota, Metazoa, Chordata, Actinopteri, Gadiformes, Gadidae. The transcript is spliced from 2 exons.
ACCCCGACCUGCUCCUUAAUGACCUGUCUCUGUACUGUCUGACCCCUAUCUGCUCUUUCAUGACCAGUCUCUGUACUUUCUAACCGUUGGACAGUACAGAGACAGGACAUUAAGGAGCAGGUAGGGUUAGACAGUACAGAGACAGGUCAUUAAGGAGCAGGUAGGGGUUAAACAGUACAGAGACAGGUCAUUAACACGCAUCUUGCUCUAGGAUGCCUUCAGGUAGACUGAGGAAUUUGGGGAUUGAACCCAGAACCUCAGCUGGGAUUGAAAUAGCCUAACCACAAUGAACCUGCCCUCUCUACCUACUAGAUAGACUAACCACUAGAGGCUUCUAGAAGCUACUCGCUGUGUUAUCGUUUUUUUUAUACAUAGCUAAUGCACUUUUGUUGUGUGAACUUGAACCUGUGUAAAUAUCUGUGUGGGAAAUAUGUGUGUUGCAAGUAUUCUGAUUAAACAUGUAACCGUAAUAUGAGAUGGUACGUUAUGACUUAAUGUUGAGACAAAAUAAAACAUAUCAGAAAAUACAUCUCACCAUCUGGUAAGAGCUUUUAUUUUGAAAAUGCACUGGUUGGACUUUUCUAGAUUUGGUCAAGACCUACAUCUGUACUGUCCAACCCCUACCUGCUCCUUAAUGACCUGUCUCUGUAGUCUAACCCCUCCCUGCUCCUUAAUGACCCGUCUCUGUACUGUCUAACCCCUACCUGCUCCUUAAUGACCUGUCUCUGUAGUCUAACCCCUACCUGCUCCUUAAUGACCUGUCUCUGUACUGUCUAACCCCUACCUGCUCCUUAAUGACCUGUCUCUGUACUGUCUAACCCCUACCUGAUCCUUAAUCACCUGUCUCUGGACUGUCCAACCCCUACCUGCUCCUGAUGACUUUGAGUAGGUCAAAGCUUAUUUUAUCUUAUUGGAGAGAAAACAGAGGCUAAAAGCAGACGACUGGUUCAGUAUUUAAUCAAGCAGUCUCCAGAUCGUCUCUUAAAACAUUUUACACUCAAUUAAAAAGGAAACUCUUUGGCCUCAAUUCAGCCGGAGCAACAUUGAGCUGUAGGGAAGACCCUGAAUCCAUUAGUGUUGUUAGGGGUCCCAGCAGGGGUCCCAGCGGGGGGGGACCCAGGUUCCCCCCUGCAGGUCUACGCUGUGGUCGGCUCCCAAGGGACCCACCCUCUCAAAACAUUCCACCCCCAGGGCCGUGUUGGAGAUACUUGGUGUUCAACAGUCACAUUCUCCACCAGUCUGACCGUUAGAAAAUAAAUCACACCCAAUACUUUUAUAAAGCAUAGUCCUUAAAUAAAGAAUUAAAAAUA